AACGCGAAGAACCUUACCCAGACUUGACAUGCAGUGGAAGUGAUCAGAAAUGAUCACGCCCUUCGGGGCCGCUGCACAGGUGCUGCAUGGCUGUCGUCAGCUCGUGCCGUGAGGUGUUGGGUUAAGUCCCGCAACGAGCGCAACCCUUAUCGUUAGUUGCCAACAGGUAAUGCUGGGAACUCUAGCGAGACUGCCUGGGUUAACCAGGAGGAAGGUGAGGAUGACGUCAAGUCCGCAUGGCCCUUAUGUCUGGGGCUACACACGUGCUACAAUGGUCGGUACAGAAGGCAGCGAAACCGCGAGGCGAAGCAAAUCCCGAAAGCCGGCCCCAGUUCAGAUUGUAGUCUGCAACUCGACUACAUGAAGAUGGAAUUGCUAGUAAUGGCGAGUCAGCAACAUCGCCGUGAAUACGUUCCCGGGCCUUGUACACACCGACUGUAC
Molecule: ribosomal RNA, 441 nt
Filed under: uncultured bacterium
Lineage: Bacteria
Description: bacterial SSU rRNA
Rfam family: Bacterial small subunit ribosomal RNA
Source: RNAcentral